UAGGGAAUCUUCCGCAAUGGACGCAAGUCUGACGGAGCAACGCCGCGUGAGUGAAGAAGGAUUUCGGUUCGUAAAACUCUGUUGUUAGAGAAGAACAGCGCAUAGAGUAACUGUUAUGCGUGUGACGGUAUCUAACCAGAAAGCCACGGCUAACUACGUGCCAGCAGCCGCGGUAAUACGUAGGUGGCAAGCGUUGUCCGGAUUUAUUGGGCGUAAAGCGAGCGCAGGCGGUCAAUUAAGUCUGAUGUGAAAGCCCCCGGCUCAACCGGGGAGGGUCAUUGGAAACUGGUUGACUUGAGUGCAGAAGAGGAGAGUGGAAUUCCAUGUGUGGCGGUGAAAUGCGUAGAUAUAUGGAGGAACACCAGUGACGAAGGCGACUCUCUGGUCUGUAACUGACGCUGAGGCUCGAAAGCGUGGGUAGCAAACAGG
This 429-nucleotide ribosomal RNA is filed under the name Acidobacteriota bacterium. RNAcentral describes it as "Acidobacteria bacterium partial 16S ribosomal RNA". It matches the Rfam family "Bacterial small subunit ribosomal RNA", at positions 355 to 776 of the family's 1533-position model. Lineage: Bacteria; Pseudomonadati; Acidobacteriota. The record is from RNAcentral.